RNAcentral lists this ribosomal RNA (939 nucleotides) under Staphylococcus sp. IMB003. RNAcentral describes it as "bacterial SSU rRNA". It matches the Rfam family "Bacterial small subunit ribosomal RNA", at positions 39 to 975 of the family's 1533-position model. The record is from RNAcentral. Lineage: Bacteria; Bacillati; Bacillota; Bacilli; Caryophanales; Staphylococcaceae.
GGGGGGGGUCUAAACUGCAGUCGAGCGAACAGAUAAGGAGCUUGCUCCUUUGACGUUAGCGGCGGACGGGUGAGUAACACGUGGGUAACCUACCUAUAAGACUGGAAUAACUCCGGGAAACCGGGGCUAAUGCCGGAUAACAUAUACAACCGCAUGGUUCUAUACUGAAAGAUGGUUUUGCUAUCACUUAUACAUGGACCCGCGCCGUAUUAGCUGGUUGGAAGGGUAAUGGCUUACCAAGGCCACAAUACGUAGCCGACCUGAAAGGGUGAUCGGCCACCCGGGAACUGAAACACGGUCCAAACUCCUACGGGAGGCAGCAAUAGGGAAUCUUCCGCAAUGGGCGAAAGCCUGACGGAGCAACGCCGCGUGAGUGAUGAAGGGUUUCGGCUCGUAAAACUCUGUUAUUAGGGAAAAACAUAUGUGUAAGUAACUGUGCACAUCUUGACGGUACCUAAUCAAAAAGCCACGGCUAACUACGUGCCAGCAGCCGCGGUAAUACGUAGGUGGCAAGCGUUAUCCGGAAUUAUUGGGCGUAAAGCGCGCGUAGGCGGUUUCUUAAGUCUGAUGUGAAAGCCCACGGCUCAACCGUGGAGGGUCAUUGGAAACUGGGAAACUUGAGUGCAGAAGAGGAAAGUGGAAUUCCAUGUGUAGCGCUGAAAUGCGCAGAGAUAUGGAGGAACACCAGUGGCGAAGGCGACUUUCUGGUCUGUAACUGACGCUGAUGUGCGAAAGCGUGAGGAUCAAACAGGAUUAGAUACCCUGCUAGUCCACGCCGUACACGAUGAGUGCUAGGUGCUAGGGGUUUGCGCCCCGUAGCUGCUGCAGCUACGCAUCAGCUACUCGCUGGGGAGUACGACGCAGCUGAUACUCAACGAUGGACGGCACGCACAAGCGUUGAACUAUGUGCUACUUCGGAGCAACGCGUUAAGACAAUCU